This 366-nucleotide unclassified non-coding RNA is filed under the name uncultured Derxomyces. Its description in RNAcentral is "sequence contains ITS1". The stretch from base 1 to 105 matches the Rfam family "5.8S ribosomal RNA", at positions 50 to 154 of the family's 154-position model. Lineage: Eukaryota; Fungi; Basidiomycota; Tremellomycetes; Tremellales. The record is from RNAcentral.
GAAAUGCGAUAAGUCAUGUGAAUUGCAGAAUUCUGUGAAUCAUCGAAUCUUUGAACGCAAAUUGUGCUCUGAGGACCUCCUCAGAGCGUGUUUGUUUGAGUGCCGUAUAAAAUUACUCAAGAAAUAUCCAUUUUUGGUCUUUUCUUGGAAUUGGAAGUUUAUUCUAAUCGAAUAAUCUUCUUAAAUAUAUGAAUUUGUUCUUAGUGAUGAACGAAUAGAAAUACAAACAUGUUAAGCAAUUUUCCAUUGCAUUAUCUAUGUUCGUGUUCUUUCUAGUAUUCAAUAAACAAAACAAAUUCACGUAAUCUACUUUUAUACGAUCAAAUUCUCGGCCUCAAAUCAAGCAAGGCUACCCGCUGAAUUUAA